UCGAACGACAGCAGGCAUUGGCAGCGUUAUUCCGUUCCGUGAGAUUCUUAGUCGGCGAACUUUCCAGAAACACGAGAAUUUUGUUUUUCCAUUUUCUCCAUUCUCAUUUACUGUUAAAAAUGCCCGAAGAUGCAAAAAUACAUGUUGGAAAUCUGCCAUUUGAAACAAGAGAAGAUGAUCUCAUUUAUGAAUUCGAGCGUUAUGGCCGAGUUGAACAAGGUAUGUAAGUGUGACAGCGUAAUCACAACUGUUGAGCCGGAAUUACUAUUGCUCCCAAACUGAGCUGUUCUUCACUUCUUUCGCUUCGUAAUCUCUGAGGUCGUUUGUUUUGCCAGGCCACAGCUUGUGUAGACGUUAAUAUGUUUUCCAGCUACCAUUAUCAAAGAUCGAGACACAGGGCGACCAAAGGGUUAUGGCUUUGUAAUGUUUGAAAAUGUCGAAGAUGCUCGAGAUGCGAUAUAUGGAAUGGACCAAAAGAAAUUUAUGGGCCGAGUUAUCAAAUGUGAGAAAGCCAAACCUCGUCGAAGUGAACUUGGGGCCUCCAGAGAUUCAUUUGACCGACGUGAUGAUAGAGGGUUCAGAGAUGAUAGGCGAGGUGAAAGAGAAUAUCGUGGUGGCCGGGAUGAUUUCAGAGGAAGUCGAGAUAAUUUUCGUGGUCGAGACGAUCAUCGUGGUCGAGACAACUUUCGUAACAGAGAUGAUCGUGAUUUUCGAGGUGGGAGAGGUCGAGAUAGGAGGUUCUAGGAUACUUGUACAAAGAAGUCAAGGAAGAAUUUUGAUUGAAGUAUUUAAACCAUCAUAGUAUGUACAAUUCCAGGCAAGUUAUGUUGAGAUGCAGUUCAUGACAUAAGGUUACAUUAAAGCAACAUUGUUUAUCUAAUUUUAACUUUGACAAUCAAGAACUUGAUGUGGAAGAUAGUGUAAAUAUAAACAUUAAAGUUUAUUGUAACAAAGA
Molecule: RNA transcript, 955 nt
Organism: Xenia sp. Carnegie-2017
Lineage: Eukaryota; Metazoa; Cnidaria; Anthozoa; Malacalcyonacea; Xeniidae
Gene name: putative RNA-binding protein RbpE
Exons: 4
Source: RefSeq, a predicted model, not a curated record